GCAGUCGCCGCGGUAAUACGAAGGGGGCUAGUGUUGCUCGGAAUUACUGGGCGUAAAGGGCGCGUAGGCGGACAGUUAAGUCGGGGGUGAAAGCCCGGGGCUCAACCUCGGAAUUGCCUUCGAUACUGGCUGUCUUGAGUAUGAGAGAGGUGUGUGGAACUCCGAGUGUAGAGGUGAAAUUCGUAGAUAUUCGGAAGAACACCAGUGGCGAAGGCGACACACUGGCUCAUUACUGACGCUGAGGCGCGAAAGCGUGGGGAGCAAACAGGAUUAGAUACCCCGGUAGUCCCUGUCUCUUAUAA
Molecule: ribosomal RNA, 302 nt
Filed under: uncultured bacterium
Lineage: Bacteria
Description: partial 16S ribosomal RNA
Rfam family: Bacterial small subunit ribosomal RNA
Source: RNAcentral